Molecule: ribosomal RNA, 402 nt
Filed under: uncultured bacterium
Lineage: Bacteria
Description: bacterial SSU rRNA
Rfam family: Bacterial small subunit ribosomal RNA
Source: RNAcentral
AAUGAACGUUGGCGGCGUGGAUUAGGCAUGCAAGUCGAGCGAGAAGCUUGAGUUUGACGCUUCGGUUGAUUUCUCAAGUGGAAAGCGGCGAAAGGGUGAGUAACGCGUAGUUAUGUGCCCCAGGGGUCUAGAAUAGCCUCGGGAAACUGAGGGUAAUGCUGGAUAAUAUCUCCGGAUCAAAGGUGUGAUUCCGCCCUGGGAGCAGACUGCGUCCUACUAGCUUGUUGGUGGGGUAAUGGCCUACCAAGGCUGCGAUGGGUAGCGGGCGUGAGAGCGUGGCCCGUCACACUGGGACUGGAGACACUGCCCAGACACCUACCGGGUGGCUGCAGUCGAGGAAUCUUCGGCAAUGCGCGCGAGCGUGACCGAGCGACGCCGCGUGUGGGAUGAAGGCCUGGUUGU